CAGACAUGCUCCGUGCGUUCAGCCGAAAGGUGUACUCGUACGGUUGCAGGCUAGAGUCUGUUCUUGGGGUCGGAUAAGGGUCUUGGGAAUGUGGCUUCGAUCUCGUAUUGAAGUGUUAUAGCCUUCGGUAGAUGUGAUGAUCGGGAUUGAGGAUUGCAACGGAUACCCUUCGGGGCUACCCGUCUGAUCUCUGAAAGUUGCCCUGGUGCUGAAAGCUUGCUUACGGUUAUCAAAGUCGAUGGUCAAUAGGUUAGAAUGGGUUAAAUUCGUUAAGGAUGUUGACGUAUGGCUUUAAACGACCCGUCUUGAGACACGGACCAAGGAGUCUAACAUGUAUG
RNAcentral lists this ribosomal RNA (338 nucleotides) under Rhizophagus irregularis. The record is from RNAcentral. Lineage: Eukaryota; Fungi; Glomeromycota; Glomeromycetes; Glomerales; Glomeraceae.